AUUGAACGCUGGCGGCAUGCCUUACACAUGCAAGUCGAACGGCAGCACGGGAGCAAUCCUGGUGGCGAGUGGCGAACGGGUGAGUAAAGUAUCGGAACGUGCCCAGUCGUGGGGGAUAACGUAGCGAAAGUUACGCUAAUACCGCAUACGAUCUAUGGAUGAAAGCGGGGGAUCGCAAGACCUCGCGCGAUUGGAGCGGCCGAUAUCAGAUUAGGUAGUUGGUGGGGUAAAGGCCCACCAAGCCGACGAUCUGUAGCUGGUCUGAGAGGACGACCAGCCACACUGGGACUGAGACACGGCCCAGACUCCUACGGGAGGCAGCAGUGGGGAAUUUUGGACAAUGGGCGAAAGCCUGAUCCAGCCAUGCCGCGUGCAGGAUGAAGGCCUUCGGGUUGUAAACUGCUUUUGUACGGAACGAGAAGGUUUGGCCUAAUAAGCUGAGCUCAUGACGGUACCGUAAGAAUAAGCACCGGCUAACUACGUGCCAGCCGCCGCAGUAA
Molecule: ribosomal RNA, 500 nt
Filed under: uncultured bacterium
Lineage: Bacteria
Description: partial 16S ribosomal RNA
Rfam family: Bacterial small subunit ribosomal RNA
Source: RNAcentral